Molecule: long non-coding RNA, 1371 nt
Organism: Halichondria panicea
Lineage: Eukaryota; Metazoa; Porifera; Demospongiae; Suberitida; Halichondriidae
Exons: 12
Source: RefSeq, a predicted model, not a curated record
UUUAUGUGUGAAACCAUGUGUCUUGUACUAGCUGACUGGCUCUAGCUAGCUAGCUAGCUACUGCACUGACUGUACGUACGUCCUGGCUGAAUCCUACUAUUUUAUUUAUGGCUCUGCUUACUACCCCAAAUAACUAUCUGGGACACAUACAGACUUUGUGAGGGGAGAUCUUCAAGCUUAGCCUGUGCCUGCAUUCUAUACUGACUGUCGAACUGGUAGGAUCCUCAAUGGCUAAUUGUAACAAGAAAACCCUAUAGGACACAUUCUGUACGUUGAUACAGUUACUGCUCUAUACGGGGGAUCUACAGACGUGACACAAGGAACCCUGUGCACUUAUAAUACAUAGCUAACUCGAUAUACUGACUGGAGGAUCCUACUAUCUCAAUGGCUACCAAGAAACCCUAUAUAUACAUUCUGGGGGAUUUUCAGUCGUGAAACACAAGGAGGAACCCUGUGCAUUUGUAGCUGACUGCAUUCUACUACUGACUGCUUAACUGGAUCCUAUCUCAAUGGCUACUAAGUUUUAACUUCGGAUAAUGUUGUAUUGGAUCUAAUCUAUGCUGCAUAUAACACUCCAUAUCAAAUCAAGAAGGAGAUGUAUAUAUUUAUACUUUGGUGCGCAAGUGCAUAAUUAUAGACUGCUACAGCUGCUCAAUGUAACAAAAGCGCCCUAAAAAGAUACUGGUUUAGUGAAACAGGACACAAGAGGUGGUCCAGGCUCCUUAAGACACGGAGGAGUGAAAUUGAGGGAACUUACAGCUGUCUGAGGGAGACUCUCAACAAGUACAGCGUCUUCACUGGGAGAAACCCUUUGGACCUAGCGGGUGUGGCUAGGUUGAUCUCUCUGUACCUCCUGCUACAGAUGAUACAGGAAAAGAUUUUUAGAAAAAGUGAAGAAUGCAAUCACUGCUGACUGGUACAGUUUGGCAAUACAGCUGGAUAUCGACUACAAAACUAGAAAGGUAACAAAAGCGCCCUAAGUUUAGUGAAACAGGACAUGCACAAAAUCAAGUACAACUGAACACUCGUAGAGAUGAAGUCUUGGUGAUGAAUAAACACAAAACAAUAUACCCGUGAAGAAAACAGAAAUGAAGUCCUUGUGUUUAAGAAACAGAACAGACUCCUGAAGAAAACAGAAAUGAUUCAAGUUCUUGUGAUGAAGAAACAGAACAGGCAAUAUACUCCUGAAGAAAACAGAAAUGCAAAGUCCUUGUGAUGAAGAAAUAGCAGAACUGAGAAACAGAACAAACAUGUAUGACAUUAUAGAAUAGUUUACUUUUAUUAUUCUUUUUGUACAAUUUUGGCCUGUUUUUGGCAGUGUGCAAUUCACACCAGUACUGAAAUAGCACACUAAUUUAGGUGUGACCCUCA